GGGAGGGAGGAGCGAUCGUAGUAAUUCUCUUCAUUUCAAAUCCCUGUCGUGGCAGCACGGGCAAGGCAGGGGACCUUUCUCCCCUUCAAACUAAGGGGAAAACCCUCCACCGAGAGCCUAGUGCACGAGCUAAAGAGCAAACGGAGGACUUUUGGGAGGAGGAGACAUUAGUUUGAAGGCACGCUGUGGUGGUAUCAGCUCACUGUGUGCACUAGUGUCUCCUCACUUGCACUGGAUACACGAAGCAAGACGUUUUGACUUCCCCGAGAUCUCCCUGAAACCCGCCAAACAUUCACACGACAUCAUUCUAUAGGAGGUAUCUGUUGCUCAAGAUGGCGGCUGGUCUGGUUUAAUCGAGGACGGGUCAGGCCGAGAGAGACCUGAAGAAUCUUCUGCAUUCUAGUCCGUGAAUGUUAAUGAGUCAUGUUGGAGGAUAGUAACAAAUCAUGUUAAAAGAAGAGAUGUUACAUACUAGCCACCAAGGAUGAUGAUGUCAGCUGUUCAGCUCCAAUGAAGAAUGCAAGAAACACAAGAUUUGUGCUGCAUCACUGAACACAUCCCAAGAACAAGAGUUAAAUGAAGAAGCAAGUAAAAUGUCAGAUUGGAUGGAUUAACGCUCAUCAUUCAGGCAUCUAAAGGACAGUCCAAAUGACUUAAAGAAAUA
Sinocyclocheilus anshuiensis is the source of this 664-nucleotide long non-coding RNA. RefSeq lists it as uncharacterized. The record is from RefSeq and is a predicted model, not a curated record. The transcript is spliced from 4 exons. Lineage: Eukaryota; Metazoa; Chordata; Actinopteri; Cypriniformes; Cyprinidae.